UACGUAGGGUGCAAGCGUUGUCCGGAAUUAUUGGGCGUAAAGAGCUCGUAGGCGGUCUGUCGCGUCGGCUGUGAAAACCCGAGGCUCAACCUCGGGCCUGCAGUCGAUACGGGCAAACUGGAGUGUUGCAGGGGAGACUGGAAUUCCUGGUGUAGCGGUGAAAUGCGCAGAUAUCAGGAGGAACACCGAUGGCGAAGGCAGGUCUCUGGGCAUUAACUGACGCUGAGGAGCGAAAGCUAGGGGAGCGAAUGGG
Molecule: ribosomal RNA, 253 nt
Filed under: uncultured bacterium
Lineage: Bacteria
Description: partial 16S ribosomal RNA
Rfam family: Bacterial small subunit ribosomal RNA
Source: RNAcentral